RNAcentral lists this transfer RNA (65 nucleotides) under Agriocnemis femina. Its description in RNAcentral is "tRNA-Glu". The record is from RNAcentral. Lineage: Eukaryota; Metazoa; Arthropoda; Insecta; Odonata; Coenagrionidae.
AUUUAUGUAGUUUAAAUAAAACACUACAUUUUCAUUGUAAAAAAGAAAAUUUAUUUCCAUAAAUA